GACGAACGCUGGCGGCGGGCUUAACACAUGCAAGUCGAACGGCAAGGCACUGCUUGUGUGGGGUGCUCGAGUGGCGAACGGGUGAGUAACACGUGAGUAACCGGCCCUUGACUUUGGGAUAACUUCAGGAAACUGGGGCUAAUACCGGAUCGGAGCUCCUGCUGGAGGGUGGGGGUUGGAAAGUUUCGGCGGGUGGGGAUGGACUCGCGGCUUAUCAGCUUGUUGGUGGGGUAGUGGCUUACCAAGGCUUUGGCGGGUAGCCGGCCUGAGAGGGUGACCGGCCACAUUGGGACUGAGAUACGGCCCAGACGCCUACGGGAGGCAGCAGUGGGGAAUAUUGCACAAUGGGCGGAAGCCUGAUGCAGCAACGCCGCGUUCGGGAUGACGGCCUGCGGGUUGUAAACCGCUUUCGCCUGUGACGAAGCGUGAGUGACGGUAAUGGGUAAAGAAGCACCGGCUAACUACGUG
This 468-nucleotide ribosomal RNA is filed under the name uncultured bacterium. RNAcentral's name for it is "partial 16S ribosomal RNA". It matches the Rfam family "Bacterial small subunit ribosomal RNA", at positions 28 to 507 of the family's 1533-position model. The record is from RNAcentral.